This 116-nucleotide microRNA precursor is filed under the name Podarcis lilfordi (Lilford's wall lizard). The record is from RNAcentral. Lineage: Eukaryota; Metazoa; Chordata; Lepidosauria; Squamata; Lacertidae.
GCACCUUAGAGACCAACUAAGUUUUUUCUGGGUAUAAGCUUUUGUGUUCAUGGACAUUUCUAUGCAUGCACAUGAAAGCUUAUACCCAGAAUAAACUUAGUUGGUCUCUAAGGUGC